GACGAACGCUGGCGGCGUGCCUAACACAUGCAAGUCGAACGGAGAUUUCAGCAAUGGAAUCUUAGUGGCGAACGGGUGAGUAACGCGUAGACAACCUACCUUCUAGAUGGGGACAACACUGCGAAAGUGGUGCUAAUACCGAAUGUUGUAUUUUGGGUGCAUGCCUAAAAUACUAAAGGUGGCCUCUAUUCAUAAGCUACCACUAGAAGAUGGGUCUGCGUCUGAUUAGCUAGUUGGUGAGGUAACGGCUCACCAAGGCGACGAUCAGUAGCCGGUCUGAGAGGAUGAACGGCCACACUGGGACUGAGACACGGCCCAGACUCCUACGGGAGGCAGCAGUGGGGAAUCUUCCGCAAUGGACGAAAGUCUGACGGAGCAACGCCGCGUGAGUGAAGAAGGUUUUCGGAUCGUAAAACUCUGUUUUCAGGGACGAAUGUGCGAUAUGUGAAUAAUGUGUUGUAAUGACGGUA
RNAcentral lists this ribosomal RNA (470 nucleotides) under uncultured Pelosinus sp. RNAcentral's name for it is "bacterial SSU rRNA". It matches the Rfam family "Bacterial small subunit ribosomal RNA", at positions 28 to 477 of the family's 1533-position model. The record is from RNAcentral. Lineage: Bacteria; Bacillati; Bacillota; Negativicutes; Selenomonadales; Sporomusaceae.